This 539-nucleotide ribosomal RNA is filed under the name uncultured bacterium. Its description in RNAcentral is "bacterial SSU rRNA". It matches the Rfam family "Bacterial small subunit ribosomal RNA", at positions 356 to 896 of the family's 1533-position model. The record is from RNAcentral.
GAGGAAUAUUGGUCAAUGGACGGAAGUCUGAACCAGCCAAGUAGCGUGCAGGAUGACGGCCCUAUGGAUUGUAAACUGCUUUUGUAUGGGGAUAAAGUUAGGGACGUGUCCCUAUUUGCAGGUACCAUACGAAUAAGGACCGGCUAAUUCCGUGCCAGCAGCCGCGGUAAUACGGAAGGUCCAGGCGUUAUCCGGAUUUAUUGGGUUUAAAGGGAGCGUAGGCUGGAGAUUAAGUGUGUUGUGAAAUGUAGACGCUCAACGUCUGAAUUGCAGCGCAUACUGGUUUCCUUGAGUACGCACAACGUUGGCGGAAUUCGUCGUGUAGCGGUGAAAUGCUUAGAUAUGACGAAGAACUCCGAUUGCGAAGGCAGCUGACGGGAGCGCAACUGACGCUUAAGCUCGAAGGUGCGGGUAUCAAACAGGAUUAGAUACCCUGGUAGUCCGCACAGUAAACGAUGGAUGCCCGCUGUUGGUACCUGGUAUCAGCGGCUAAGCGAAAGCAUUAAGCAUCCCACCUGGGGAGUACGCCGGCAACGGUG